RNAcentral lists this ribosomal RNA (502 nucleotides) under uncultured Glomus. RNAcentral describes it as "SSU rRNA". It matches the Rfam family "Eukaryotic small subunit ribosomal RNA", at positions 569 to 1074 of the family's 1831-position model. Lineage: Eukaryota; Fungi; Glomeromycota; Glomeromycetes; Glomerales; Glomeraceae. The record is from RNAcentral.
AGCAGCCGCGGUAAUUCCAGCUCCAAUAGCGUAUAUUAAAGUUGUUGCAGUUAAAAAGCUCGUAGUUGAAUUUCGGGACCAAUAUGUCGGUCGUGCCUCGGUACGUACUGGUGCCAUUGGUUUCUCCCUUCUGAGGAUCCUUGAUGUCAUUAAUUUGGUGUCUUGGGGAAUCAGGACUGUUACCUUGAAAAAAUUAGAGUGUUUAAAGCAGGCAUACGCUUGAAUACAUUAGCAUGGAAUAAUGAAAUAGGACGUUCGAUUCUAUUUUGUUGGUUUCUAGGAUCGACGUAAUGAUUAAUAGGGAUAGUUGUGGGCAUUAGUAUUCAAUUGUCAGAGGUGAAAUUCUUGGAUUUAUUGAAGACUAACUACUGCGAAAGCAUUUGCCAAGGAUGUUUUCAUUAAUCAAGAACGAAAGUUAGGGGAUCGAAGACGAUCAGAUACCGUCGUAGUCUUAACCAUAAACUAUGCCGACUAGGGAUCGGAUGAUGUUAAUUUUUAAUGA